AGGAAGGCACCCCGGCUAAACCUCCGUGACCAGCCAGUCGGCGGUAAAUAACGGAGGGGUGCAAAGGCUUUAAUUCGGAAAUUACUGGGCGUAAAAGCCGCGCGUAAGGGUGGCUUAAAGUCACCCCAGGUUGUGAAAAGCCCCCGGGGCUUCAACCUUGGGAAACGGCAUCCUGGAAACUGCUUUGGCUAGAAGUGCAGGAAGAGGAAAGGUUAGAAUUUCCCGGUGUAGCCGGUGAAAUGCGUAGAGAUNCGGGAGGAAUACCAGUGGCGAAAGGCGGCCUUCUGGACUGACACUGACACUGAGGUGCGAAAGCGUGGGUAGCAAACAGGAUUAGAUACCCUGGUAGUCCACGCCGUAAACGAUGUCAACUAGCCGUUGGGUCCUUGAGGACUUAGUGGCGCAGCUAACGCAAUAAGUUGACCGCCUGGGGAGUACGGCCGCAAGGUUAAAACUCAAAUGAAUUGACGGGGGCCCGCACAAGCGGUGGAGCAUGUGGUUUAAUUCGAUGCAACGCGAAGAACCUUACCUACCCUUGACAUCCAGAGGACUUUCCAGAGAUGGAUUGGUGCCUUCGGGAACUCUGAGACAGGUGCUGCAUGGCUGUCGUCAGCUCGUGUUGUGAAAUGUUGGGUUAAGUCCCGUAACGAGCGCAACCCCUAUCCUUAUUUGCCAGCGAGUAAUGUCGGGAACUCUAAGGAGACUGCCGGUGACAAACCGGAGGAAGGUGGGGACGACGUCAAGUCAUCAUGGCCCUUACGGGUAGGGCUACACACGUGCUACAAUGGCAAGUACAAAGGGUUGCAAUACGGCGACGUGGAGCCAAUCCCAUAAAGCUUGCCUCAGUCCGGAUUGGAGUCUGCAACUCGACUCCAUGAAGUCGGAAUCGCUAGUAAUCGUGGAUCAGAAUGCCACGGUGAAUACGUUCCCGGGCCUUGUACACACCGCCC
This 950-nucleotide ribosomal RNA is filed under the name Cobetia marina. Its description in RNAcentral is "bacterial SSU rRNA". It matches the Rfam family "Bacterial small subunit ribosomal RNA", at positions 482 to 1395 of the family's 1533-position model. Lineage: Bacteria; Pseudomonadati; Pseudomonadota; Gammaproteobacteria; Oceanospirillales; Halomonadaceae. The record is from RNAcentral.